Parus major (Great Tit) is the source of this 6845-nucleotide long non-coding RNA. RefSeq lists it as uncharacterized. The record is from RefSeq and is a predicted model, not a curated record. NCBI's taxonomy places the organism in Eukaryota, Metazoa, Chordata, Aves, Passeriformes, Paridae. The transcript is spliced from 2 exons.
CUUUGCCAUAAACAUUGGAUUCAGGGAAUUAGACUGAAUAUUAAAUUGAUACAAUGGAUGUAUUUUCAUCAGGAGAAUAACUCCUUCCAAAACAGAACCUAACAGUGAGUCUAGAGCUGUGGAAUUGUUUUAAAAAUCUUCUAUUACAAAUACAAAAAGGCACAAAGACAAAAAUAUUCUCCUAAUUAGGCAAUAAGGGUAGAGAGAAACAGCACAAAUAUGCAUAUUUAACAUAUUGUUCAGAUCCUGAAGGAAAGUAAGACAAGAAAUGUAACAAAAAUUAAAUGUGCACAGACAUAUGGAAGGAUUUAAAUAUGCAAAAGGGUGUUUCUAAACAAAGAAAUACCAAACACAAAAAGGCCUUUUAAAAUGUAAGUUUUAUUGAAAGACAAGAUGAGCAAGCAAAUUGAAAUUACAGAUGAUACUCCAAUUGAUUCAAAUUCGGUUUUUGGACCUCUUCCAUUGGGCCACUCACAAGUCCAAAAAACUUUUGAGUUGGCCCUAAAUUUUGUGUUUUAAGCCAACAUUUAAAUGUGAGCGACUGCCAUUUUGUCACGUUCCUGGAAGGCAAUUUGCACACAGGAGAAAGCUGCUUUGUCAUAUAAUGUAAAUUACUCAAGAUCACAUGUCACCUCAGAGAGAUAUACUCUCGCUGAUUUGUAAAUUAAAGACAAGCCACAAAAGUUCCUAAUUCCUUCACAACAUAACUACUCAUGAGUUUCUGCUGAAAGACUGCCAUCAAAAGGCAAUAAAUCUUCAGGAAAUAAUAUCACAAUGCUAGUUCUAAGGCACUCAUGAUUUUUUUCCAACUUUCUCUGGAAUAUUUCUUCCAAAAGAAAGCAGAUGGCAAAAUACUCAGCGGGUCAACUUUUGUGUUCAGACACUCCCAGGGGUUUCCAUUAAUUCACGUUGUCUCUGCACAGACAUAGACAACAAGAGAAAUCACUACCCAUCCUUCCUUAAGAUCACCACAUUUUUCCUUGCCUCACUAUCAGAGGCAUUAUUUGAAACCAGCAUGGCUGUUCAGUGCAUUCUGGAUGCAUAAGGGGUAAAGCAAAAUAACGCCUCUCGCUGAAUUGGAUUCACAGAUCAUGGACAUGCCUGGGUCCAACCCAAAUCCAUCCUUUUCCUGGCGAAGCCCUUCAAGAGAUGACCUGACCUCACUGCUCCUCUGCCAACCCGGCCACCCAACCACACAAAACCAAGUCUUCUCUGAAAGUCACACAGCACUGCUGAGCUGAAGUGCCUCAAGAAGCUAAGUCAUUAUAGAGUACCGGAUUUAUUUAUUUACUGGUUUACUGGGGGAAGAACAAAUUCCUUAGAGGACAGAUUUGCAGAAGAAUUCAGUGCUGACCUCAUUGUGUCAUUAUUGAUGUCAGCAAAACCUGCUGAAACAAAAUAAGCCCAAUGAUGGAUGAGUCUGAAAACCUCACAUGCUGUAAACCACGAAGAGGUUCACAGCACCUUCAUCCGCUGCACUGCUGCUAACGAACAAAGCCAGCCAGGAACAAGGGCUUCUGGCAGCUCAUGAGGGAGCGUGUCGGGCCACACAGCCCCAGAGCGGUGUCCCCAGCCGGAUGGGCGCCAGAGACGUGCGCUCGAGCAGGGGAGCCCCAUCCAUCGUGUUUGUGCCGAGGUCCCGGGUGUUGCCAGGGGUUACUGUGCACAGAGCGAGGGACAGGGGCCGCACAACGAGGGGAAAAGCGUUUCAGCCCAAAAAAGGAAAACAUCGGCUACAGAAACGCAACAGCAGAGGCAAACCACCAGAGAUAAUCAAAUGUUAAUAUAACCACAUUCCUUUCCAGUGUAAUGAAAAAACAUCAGAAAGCAUGAAGAACAUGUUUCAAGUAACAGAGGGGGUUUUCUAACAAUAAAUUCAGAUAACUCAUAUGCAACUGUAUGAAGACUAGAAAAGAGCCACUGCAGACCUACAAAAUCAGCUUGGCACACCUCCAUGAGAGCUGUGCUGAUGGGUCAGGGCCAGGCAGGACCCCCUCACUCUGUUCCCAGCUGCUCCCAGUGCCCACAGCCACCACCAACCCUGACCCAGCAGAGAACGAGGCUGAAAUAUUUGCUGCUGGCACCAACCAGCCAUAAGGUUCAAUCGGUCCACAAUUGGGAGGCAGUAAACCUUUACAGCUGCGUGCGCACCAAUGGCAUCUCCUGAGCAGCUGUGCGGGGGAAAGGCGGAGGAGCCCCCCACAACACCUAUUCUGAAUGAAGGCAGCCAACAGAACAGCCAACACCUAAAAGUCGCCUGCUCCAUCUUCAGACCACACACAUUUGCUGUUAGUCACCUAAAUGCAGGCUGUUCUUCAGGUGCUUUCAUUUCCCAAGCUUGCACACUGUGAGAAAAAAAUACUCUCGCUAGUACUAGGUUUAGAAAAAAAAAACUUAAAAAUUUUAUAAGAGCCAAAAGCUGUUAGCUUGAGAGUCCUGUUUUCCAUAAAACUCACAUUCAUAACAAGCAAUAAAAAUGGAACUUUGCUGUAAUAUAACUCACGAGUCUGUCUAAAAGUUAGAUCUGAAGAGAUCUCCAUUAAAGGUAAAAUGUAGCAUAGGCUUCAUGCCAGACCAUUCUUUUGUUUCUUUUCAAUAAGAGAAAGAGUGCCAACUAUGAUAAAGUUUUACAAGGAAGUCACCCAUGUUCUAACAACAUAACUGAAAUUAGCCACUCAUUACAUGUAGGCUCUUAACUACUAUUAAUUGACAUCUCUUUCCUUCUCAUCUCUGAGUAAGCCAAACUGUAUUUCUAACUCAACAUUGAUAUUUACUGCAUUCCAUAUAAAAUUAAAUAUUCCUCUAUAAGAACUUUUAAGAGGAAUCAAAUGAAGAGACCUGACCUGCAAAGUGUGGUACUUGUCACAAUUUUUAUCAAUUUCUUUGAUAAAAUUCACAUGUAAGUCACAAAGUUGUAGCAGAACAUCAGAUGACACAUGCAAAAAAAGCAUGCUGCUCUGAGUCGUUUCUGCCUGUUCACAGUGGAUUCACAGCACACUGAAAUCAAAAGCAGAUUUUGCAGAGACAGUAUUGAAGUUGAGCUGCAACCAGCAGUAUGGAAAAGGUACAAUAUGCAGUGGGCUGCAACAAUGGUUCUGUCAAUUAACCUGGCUAUAGUGCACUGCUACCAUAGCUGAGAGGACUACAGGCAAUCAUUGUAGCAUACUCCAAGGAACUUCUGAAAGAGUGAGCCCUACCUGUGAUCAAAUUAGUCACUGUAAGAAUAUCACUAAUAACCUAAACUUAGAGGCUGAUGAACCAGACAGCAUCUCAAAAAAAUUGCUCUAUCCAGGAAUGUAACUCAGAAUGUUAAGUAUUAGAAAUGUGAAUUAUUAGAUCUGUCUCAUGCCCUUCUGCUGACAACAGGAGAAUCUCCUGCAACAUUAUUUUCUAGUGCUUUUGUGUGCUUGGUUUUUGUUGUUUUUUUUUUUUUAAUAUACACACUAUGUGGCAAAGAAUGUUGGUUAAUAGAAUAAGAAAGAUUUUAUUUUUACUUCAUUAUAGGUUUUGUUCAUGCCACAUGGUUGAUUUGCCUCAUUGCCGUCCCUUUGCUUUCCCACCUAUAAUAGGAGAGAUAGUAAUACCUGUCUGCUCCUUAAGACAUUUAUGCUGAUUACUUAUCACUUACCAAAAUCUUUCAAACUGAAAGAAGUGUCACAGAGGCAAUAUGAGACAUAAAUUUGUCUUUCACUGUUUCUUACUUGCUUUUUGUGUUGAGAGCCAAGACUCAUUUCUGAUAGCUAUCAUGUUCUAGUCCUUCUCUCAUCAAUUAUUUGAAGAAGUUACUGUCAUCCAAGGCUGUGUUUCUAAUGAUUUUUUUUAGUUGUGUAAUUUAAAGAGUGCAAAAUCAUUCAAUUUCAUCUUAUUCCAGAGAUCACUAACUGUAAUUAUACAUGGAAAUGAUUAAAUGAACAAAAACUAGAUAUACUCUAAUCCACUUUCAGGGUCUAGCAUAAGAAAUCCAGGUCAGUUAUGCUAAUUUCAAGCAGUGUAAAUUCACUAGUGCUUCAGAAAAAUAAAACUGCUAUCAAGUUAUGAAGCAAAAGUUUGUUCACAACAAGGAUUUAAUUUUCCCCACAGAAACAGUGAAGCUAAAUAAAAAGAAAAAUUACUCUCUUCUGACUAUUUAAUCAAUCAAGACUUGCAAGUCAAAUAUAAACACACCUUAUACACAAUCCCAAACCCAAAAGACACUCCUCUCCAAAACCUACAGCCCUCCCAAACCAAUUGAAAAAAAAAAACAUAUUUCAAAAUUUCAUGUUAUGCAAAGAGUUCAAGGAGAGUGACCUUGGUUCUUUCAAAGGCUGUAAUAAGUAUUCUUUGAAGAAAAGAAAUGCUAGUGAGAACAGAUCCUUUGACACAUGAGAAGAGUAAAUGAAAGAUUCAGAAAUGGCUCUGACAUUAAGUUCCUUCUCAAGUAUUUCCUCAGUCAGAAAAAAAAAAAAAAGGAAGAAAUGCUGGGAGCACUGAGGGAGAAUGGGAUGAGGAUCCUGUGAAAGAAACUGCAACAGCUAAUGAAGGACAUAUAGGGAAACACAUUAGGAAAACGUGAACAAAUAAAAAAACCUAGACAACAUGCAUUCUACAGGACUUAAAAGAAUUAGCUGAACUCCUUUAUGUUCACUGUGCACAAACCAAAUAACUGAAAAAUUAACACAGAGGGAAAUAUUAACAUUACCACCUUAAACAACAGCAAAGGUACUGCAGACAGAUUCUCGCAAAUCCUGUUUCUGUUCCUAAUGGUCAGUGUCUUCAGCGAGCCUUGGGUGCAGGGCCUGGAGCAAGGACAGGGGACUAUCCAAGUGCAGAUGAGCUUUAAUAGGGGCACAAUGUUUUAUCUCACAGGAUCUUAGCUGAAAAAGUAAUUCACAUUGGCUCACCCAUUUCCAUGUGGCUUUCAAGCUGCUGAGGUAAUGAAAUUACAGGAAAUAAGCUGCAAUGUAGCAAGGUGGUGGGAACCGUCUCCUGGCUGCCAUGUGGAUGACUGCUAGGAACAGUCUGUUGGACUUCUUUAUUAAUGAUCUGGAAAAGAGAGUGCACAGCACUUUGAUGGAACUCACAGAUAUAAGUGUGAAAGACAGAAAGACAGUGUACUAAGAAAAUAAUAGAGAAUUUCCUAGAGAAGAUAGAACCAUGGAAACAAAAUAACUAAAGGAGACUCAACUUGGAAAAUAAUGCAGCCUGGGAAAACAUCUGUGAAGGAGCAACAGGAAGGUGAAAUCUAAGAUGCAAUAAUGAUGUAAGAGAUGUAGGGAGACAGCUCACGCUAAAUGGCAUGAAUUGGUAAUGUGCUAUGGAGUGAAAAGGCCAAUAUUGCACUGAGAAAGAAACAAAUACCACAUUCUGCAUGCUGCUGGUACAGCUCCAUCUGGACUAUUAUACACAUUUCUGGAUAUUGACAAAUUUGAGAGUUCAAAGGAGAGCACCAAACAUGAUCCAAAGCCUAAGAGGAUUGAUUUAUGAGGAGACAUUAGAAGAGUUAAAAAUAUAAAUUGCUUGACUUAGAAAUUAUUAAUAGGGGACAUGGUAACAGCCUAAUAUUUGAAGAAGACCACCGGUGAAGGCAUUUUUCAGCAGGUUUCUCAAGGAACACCAGAGUCCAGAGAGCAACUGAGAAGGAAAACCAUAUACUGAGUAUCAAGAAAUGCUUACUGAAAUAAUUUUCUCAGUAGGAGAGAAAUGAGGCUUUUACUUGUGGCUUUUAAACACAGACUUGAAGAAUCCCUUAAGAAACCUAUGUACCCACAACUGUGAAAGUCUGAACUCCGACCUCUCUGAUCCAUUCCAGCUUAGCCAAGCUGGUUGCCGUCUACAAUUCCCUCUUUCCACAAGACGAUUUGGCCAUAUUUAUAAAGACAUUACAUUCUUAUUUGUGUAUCUUCCCAUGCUUUUGCUACCCUGGCAUUCAACAAACUAAAAUAAAUAGCUGCUAUUAGUGAAGUACUUUUGUUACUUGAGGGCCAGUGAAAGUCUCAGCACCUGUCUUACCACUGCAUGCAAAUAACAAACCAGCAGUCAGACACCUACAGAGCCUUUCAGUGACUGGGUUCUUGAUGAGCUACAUUCAAGGUGAAGAUGGCUAAUUAUGAGCCACACAGACAGUGAAGACUGCACACUCCACCGAGUGACCAAGAUACAGGCUACAGUUUUUCACAAGGACAUCAUAAGAAGAAAGUGUUAUAAAAAGCAGUCAUAGAUUCACCAUGUGAAGCAAUGGCCUCCAUCACUCCCCAGCAUUAAUCCCUAUCCUGUAUCCCUGUGCUGUAGCUGUGGAACCUCAUUCAUUACUGCCAUGCUGUGGAUCCACCUUAGUCCCUCAACUCAGGGUGAUGGCUGGAGGGAGCCAGGUGCUGCAGGAAGCAAGUAUAUGCUGGAGACCUGCCCGUAUAACACAGGACCUAGCAUGGGCUGAGAGGGCAAACUGGUUCCCUUUGGACUGUGCAUAUUUCUGAGGGAAACGACAGAAGUUUGUUGCAAAAGUUUGUGACGAUUUGGUAAAGAGGACUAAUUGGGGUGAGUCAUUGGUAAGAAUUCCAGGUUGUGAGCUGGAACAGUACAAGAAUUAUUUAAAUUUUUUAAAUUAUACUUUGUCAUGAAAAAAUGAGAACUCUUCAUCCAAAGGCAAUUUUACAAGAGUGACUGCUCUGACACGAGCAGCGAACAAUAAGGGAGGUGCCAGCCCAGGAAAAUGUGCCAUUGGCAGGACACGCAUAGGAAGAUAAAAGCUAAAAAUCCUGGUGAACUCUCUGGCAUACCAGUAGACAAUAUCGCAGCUGAUGACAAUAAAGUUCCCACACUAAUACUUCAGUAGGAAAAGGUGCAAAUAAAGAGCUUAUCGAAAAGCA